Molecule: ribosomal RNA, 253 nt
Filed under: uncultured bacterium
Lineage: Bacteria
Description: partial 16S ribosomal RNA
Rfam family: Bacterial small subunit ribosomal RNA
Source: RNAcentral
UACGGAGGGUGCAAGCGUUAUCCGGAUCCACUGGGUUUAAAGGGUGCGUAGGCGGACAUGUAAGUCCGUGGUGAAAUCUCCGAGCUUAACUCGGAAACUGCCAUGGAUACUAUAUGUCUUGAAUGUUGUGGAGGUUAGCGGAAUAUGUCAUGUAGCGGUGAAAUGCAUAGAUAUGACAUAGAACACCAAUUGCGAAGGCAGCUGGCUACACAAAUAUUGACGCUGAGGCACGAAAGCGUGGGGAUCAAACAGG